GAUGAACGCUGGCGGCGUGCUUAACACAUGCAAGUCGAACGAUGAAGCCCAGCUUGCUGGGUGGCUUAGUGGCGAACGGGUGAGUAACACGUGAGUAACCUGUCCUUAACUCUGGGAUAAGCCUGGGAAACUGGGUCUAAUACCGGAUAGGAGCGUCCACCGCAUGGUGGGUGUUGGAAAGAUUUAUCGGUUUUGGAUGGACUCGCGGCCUAUCAGCUUGUUGGUGAGGUAAUGGCUCACCAAGGCGACGACGGGUAGCCGGCCUGAGAGGGUGACCGGCGAGAGGGGGACGGAGAGAAGGCCAAGAGGAGUACGGGAGGGAGAAGUGGGGAAUAUGGAGAAAUGGGCGGGAGCGUGAUGCAGCAACGCAGAGUGAGGGAGGAGGGAAGUAGGGGUGUAAACCGGGUUCGCCAGGGACGAAGAGUGAGUGAGGGGGAUGGGUAAAGAAGAGAAGGAGAGGUAAGUG
Molecule: ribosomal RNA, 466 nt
Filed under: uncultured bacterium
Lineage: Bacteria
Description: partial 16S ribosomal RNA
Rfam family: Bacterial small subunit ribosomal RNA (bases 15-369)
Source: RNAcentral